RNAcentral lists this ribosomal RNA (283 nucleotides) under uncultured bacterium. RNAcentral's name for it is "partial 16S ribosomal RNA". It matches the Rfam family "Bacterial small subunit ribosomal RNA", at positions 60 to 339 of the family's 1533-position model. The record is from RNAcentral. RNAcentral also lists the same sequence under 1 other name.
AGCUUGACGGAACUCUUCGGAGGGAAGAUAAGUUGACUGAGUGGCGGACGGGUGAGUAACGCGUGAGCAACCUGCCCAUAAGAGGGGGAUAACAGUUGGAAACGACUGCUAAUACCGCAUAAGACCACAUUACCGCAUGGUAGAGGGGUCAAAGAAAUUCGCUUAUGGAGGGGCUCGCGUCCCAUUAGGUAGUUGGUAGGGUAAAGGCCUACCAAGCCGACGAUGGGUAGCCGACCUGAGAGGGUGAUCGGCCACACUGGAACUGAGACACGGUCCAGACUCC